Molecule: ribosomal RNA, 339 nt
Filed under: Triticum aestivum (bread wheat)
Lineage: Eukaryota; Viridiplantae; Streptophyta; Magnoliopsida; Poales; Poaceae
Description: partial small subunit ribosomal RNA
Source: RNAcentral
AUGAAGAGAGGCCACGAGCGGUCGGACGGCAAGCUCCACGCGGCGUCGACAGAGAAGCGCCACAAGUGCGACGACAAUAGUUGGACGGCCGUCGCCGCGUAUGCAUCGGUGGCGGGGACGAAGCGAGCCUACCAGCGAUCCGAGGAUUCAUUUGACUUGUCCACAGAUAAAAGGUACAAGUGCAACUACUGGGAGGACCCUGCUAGCGCGCUGAUCCUGGAGCUCCGCGGGGGAAGGAAAUCCAGCGGCGCUGCUCGCAGCAAUAUGAUUUGGCGCACCCUCAAGGAGAUCGACGACUGGUGCGACGAGCUUCAGGCGGCGCGCGAAAGCAAGAUGUAA